UUUGCUAGGCUAAGCUAAUGCUUGGGGCGUCAGACAGAGUUACAGCACGCACGGAGAUGCAAAGGGUAUGUAUGGACUUGUCUAUUUCUGGGGGUAACGGUGAAUAAGCUAAAGUCCCAAUAAGUCGGCGUGUUCCUUUAAGUACCACAGUUUGGG
Molecule: long non-coding RNA, 156 nt
Organism: Etheostoma spectabile (orangethroat darter)
Lineage: Eukaryota; Metazoa; Chordata; Actinopteri; Perciformes; Percidae
Exons: 3
Source: RefSeq, a predicted model, not a curated record